Molecule: ribosomal RNA, 87 nt
Filed under: Clausilia bidentata
Lineage: Eukaryota; Metazoa; Mollusca; Gastropoda; Stylommatophora; Clausiliidae
Also listed under: 3 other names
Description: partial 5.8S ribosomal RNA
Rfam family: 5.8S ribosomal RNA
About the family: 5.8S ribosomal RNA (5.8S rRNA) is a component of the large subunit of the eukaryotic ribosome. It is transcribed by RNA polymerase I as part of the 45S precursor that also contains 18S and 28S rRNA.
Source: RNAcentral
AUUGCAGAACACAUUGAACAUCGACACCUUGAACGCAUAUGGCGGCCUCGGGUCCAUCCCGAGGCCACGCCCGUCUGAGGGUCGGCG